AGAAGCCGGAGGAAGGCCAUCCCCAAGGCCCAAGGAGAGCUGAAGGAGCUGGAGGAGGACGCCCCUGGAGUCUGGUUGGGGUCUUCCCCGGGGGAGGGGGCCCCCGGAUUCACCACGUGGUCAAGGUCAAGGGUCACCAACCCUCUUCCCACCGGACCCCCCCUUUUGCAAACGAUCAACCACCAGAAAGAAGCCCGGGAGCGCAUCUGCCAGCGGAGAAGCGUCGCAGAGCGCAACGCUCCGCAAGGGACAGAAAAGAAAAAUAAAGAUCCCGCCUGGUGCGAAAAGGACUGGUCGUUGGAAGCGUGUUUUUCCUUGCGCUUUGGGAUCCCACCCGUCCGAUUUUAGGGGGAUCGUGGGGGGAUCGCCACCCUGGAAUUGGCUUUUUGGGGCGUCCUUCCCCCUCCUGAAAUUAUUCUCUCCCACCCGGGUUUCGCGACGACUCCGUUUUCGUCUGUUCCGGACUUUUGAAAAAAUAAAUCCAAUCCGCUAUUUUUAAAUAUUUCCCUUCCCGGUGACCAUUAAAAAUCUUAUGGUUUU
Long non-coding RNA from Ornithorhynchus anatinus (platypus), 540 nucleotides. RefSeq lists it as uncharacterized. NCBI's taxonomy places the organism in Eukaryota, Metazoa, Chordata, Mammalia, Monotremata, Ornithorhynchidae. The transcript has 2 exons. The record is from RefSeq and is a predicted model, not a curated record.